AACGCUGGCGGCGUGCCUAACACAUGCAAGUCGAGCGGGGAGAGAUAGCUUGCUAUCGAAUCCCAGCGGCGGACGGGUGAGUAACGCGUGAGCAAUCUGUCCUACACAGGGGGAUAACAGCUGGAAACAGCUGCUAAUACCGCAUAAGACCACAGUACCGCAUGGCACAAGGGUCAAAGAUUUAUCGGUGUAGGGUGAGCUCGCGUCCCAUUAGAUAGUUGGCGGUGUAAUGGACCACCAAGGCGACGAUCAGUAGCUGGUUUGAGAGGAUGAUCAGCCACAAUGGGACUGAGACACGGCCCAUACUCCUACGGGAGGCAGCAGUAGGGAAUUUUGCGCAAUGGGGGAAACCCUGACGCAGCAACGCCGCGUGACCGAUGAAGCCCUUCGGGGUGUAAAGGUCUGUCAGUGGGGACGAAACUUGACGGUACCCACAGAGGAAGCAUCGGCUAACUCCGUG
RNAcentral lists this ribosomal RNA (460 nucleotides) under uncultured bacterium. RNAcentral describes it as "bacterial SSU rRNA". It matches the Rfam family "Bacterial small subunit ribosomal RNA", at positions 32 to 507 of the family's 1533-position model. The record is from RNAcentral.